Cercocebus atys (sooty mangabey) is the source of this 1002-nucleotide long non-coding RNA. RefSeq lists it as uncharacterized. The record is from RefSeq and is a predicted model, not a curated record. Lineage: Eukaryota; Metazoa; Chordata; Mammalia; Primates; Cercopithecidae. The transcript is spliced from 3 exons.
GUUUCGGGAAAGUUGCCCCGGGGUUAGGAAACGCUCCAUCUGAGCGAAAGGCCCUCCCCACCGGGUCUUGGAGCCAAGGUGUCACCCACCCUGCUGGUUUUCUCUUUGCUGAGAUUGUCUUUCGAUUCCAUUUUUGGCCUAGUUCCCUAAGCCAAACCUCACACAGCUUGGCUGAGAGAGCACAGAACAGGAAAACCGCAUGGAGAAAGGCUGGUCAUAAGGAAAUAGUCACUUGGCUGUCGAUGUCCACAGUCCCCUGACGUCUGUCCCCAGCACUGAGCAGCGGAAACCACAGAUUCUCGAAGCAGGAAUUCAAGUCCUCAGGCAAAGGCACGUUCUGACUGUCUGAUCAGCAUUUUCUAUCGAUCUCUUUACAAAUUACCUUUGUUCUUUCUCUAAGGCCAGACAGGGGUCUGGAGGCUGGAGCAGGAAAGCCAUCCGGGUGAGGUGGCCAGUGCCUCAGACUGCCCAGGGAGCCUCAGCCCUACCCCACAACGUCCGAGGUCCCUGGCUGGAGGAUCUGGAUCUGGGGGCUGCUGUGAGGUGGACAAGGUGCAGCUGAUUCCAGGGCACCCCGAGCUGAAGCAACACCACGAAACCAGCCGCAGGCACUCAGGCCAAGCCGUACCAAGAGGGACGUUCAUCUGCCAGAUCAAACGUGGGGUGCUUGUUUGGCCCAAGGCUGCCCGUGCUGUUCUCUGCCCCUCAGUACGCCAGGUUAUGAGAACGUCAGCACUCCCUGAGAAGGCAGUGACCCCAAGCAGAGCCAGCACGUGAGGAUCCCACUCCUCCUUCCUCAGACUGCCCUGGCCACAGAUCGAUCCUUCCAGUACCACGGCAAGGCUCUUGCCAUGCUGGGAGCUUCUCUCAGAAACGCCUUUUCCAGCCUUCGUGGUCCUUGGAGCAGAAGAACGGGACUUGUUCUUACCCACUCCUGGGGCUUCCUGGGAGUCCAAUAUUUGCAAGCCCUGUGCUUGGGGAAGUCUCAGCUCUGGGUCUGAG